This 253-nucleotide ribosomal RNA is filed under the name uncultured bacterium. RNAcentral describes it as "partial 16S ribosomal RNA". It matches the Rfam family "Bacterial small subunit ribosomal RNA", at positions 524 to 776 of the family's 1533-position model. The record is from RNAcentral.
GACGAGCUACACAAACGUUAUUCGGAAUUACUGGGCUUAAAGGGUGCGUAGGCGGUACUGCAAGUCGGGUGUGAAAUACCUCAGCUUAACUGAGGAACUGCAUUCGAUACUGCCGUGCUAGAGUAAGACAGAGGUAAGUAGAACUUCGGGUGGAGCGGUGAAAUGCGUUGAUAUCCGAAGGAAUACCGGUGGCGAAGGCGACUUACUGGGUCUUCACUGACGCUGAUGCACGAAAGCUAGGGUAGCAAACGGG